AUUGCAGAAGAGGUUACGAGUGUUGGGGGAAGAUGAUAAUUGGAAACUGUGUAGUUUUCGUUCAGUUUUACUGUGAACCUAAAACUGAUCUGAAAACAGAGGCUAUUAAAUAAACAAAUAAUAGAACACAUUGGGGUAACAAAGGGAUGCAGUAAAUUGUCAAUGGAAAUAAAAUAAAAUCUACAUAAACUGGGCAUAAUGUUCAAAAAAGAUUAGAUGCAUGAUUUUGAGGAGUAGAAAUAGAGAAUGCAUGGUAAAUGAAAAAAAAUUAGAAAGAGGAGGAUGGUGUUUAGUUUAAAUAAAGAGAGUUUAAAACUUUGGGAUGCCUGGAUAGAAUAUAGUACGGAUGGCCUAUAAAAACCAAAAACUUGGGCCGGGCGCGGUGGCUCAAGCCUGUAAUCCCAGCACUUUGGGAGGCCGAGGCGGGUGGAUCAUGAGGUCAAGAGAUCGAGACCAUCCUGGUCAAUAAGGUGAAACCCCGUCUCUACUGAAAAUACAAAAAAUUAGCUGGGCAUGGUGGUGCAUGCCUGUAAUCCCAGCUACUCAGGAGGCUGAGGCGGGAGAAUUGCCUGAACCCAGGAGGCGGAGGUUGCGGUGAGCCGAGAUGGCGCCAUUGCACUCCAGCCUGAGUAACAAGAGCGAGACUCCAUCUCAAAAAACAAAACAAAACAAAAUCUGAUAAAUUAUUUGGCUCUUCCUAUAGGAAAAGAAAAAAUAUACAUGUGAAAUUUUAUGAACAAAUGUGUCAGCUGGGAUUAAAAGAUUUCAUUAACUCCAGAUAAAGAACUAUUGUUUAUGAGAAUAUUGUAGAGGUCAGCUAGAAAAAUUACUUAUUCGUGCCUAAGAGAUAAGAUGUAUUCAGUAAAUAUGUGUUGAAUGAAUAGGCCAAUGAAUAGAUAAGCUAUAAGAUUUAUGUAGAAGCUUUUUGAUUUUAUGUAAAACUCUAAACAGUCUGGAAGUUUUAAUCUGUAAAACAUGUCAAUUGAACAAUGCUAUAUUAAAAUCCUUUGUAUUUCUGAGUAUUUCUUAUUAUUUAUAAAACUAAUAAGAUUUGUAAAGAAAUAUUUAUGUCUGCUUAAAACUGUGUUUUAAAUGCAUUUUGAUAAUUCCUUGUUCAUCUAUUCUUUCAUCUGGUUAGUGAUGAAAAGUAGCAAUUGGCUUUGAGUUUUGAACAUGGCACCAAGAUAGUAAGGGAGGUGUUUUGCCACGUCCAAACAAAUGGCUUUUAUAAGGCUGUUUUAUAGCCAGUAAAAUAUAAAAAUAUACACAAAAUCCUUACAAUAGGGUUUUAAAAGAGAUAAUAUUAACCACACGUGUGUGUGUGUGUGUGUGUGUGUGUGAGAGAGAGAGAGAGGAGGGGAGAGAGAGAGAGAGAGAGAGAGAGAGAUGGAGAGAGAGAGAGACAAAGAGAAAGGCAGAGAGGUAGGGAUCUAGGUAAAUGACAUAACUUUUCAAUUCCAUUUAGACUGCUUUACAUUACAUAAGGAUCAUAUUUUGACAUG
RNAcentral lists this long non-coding RNA (1502 nucleotides) under Callithrix jacchus (white-tufted-ear marmoset). Its description in RNAcentral is "lncRNA (ENSCJAG00000085584.1)". Lineage: Eukaryota; Metazoa; Chordata; Mammalia; Primates; Cebidae. The record is from RNAcentral.